RNAcentral lists this ribosomal RNA (856 nucleotides) under Curtobacterium sp. RNAcentral's name for it is "bacterial SSU rRNA". It matches the Rfam family "Bacterial small subunit ribosomal RNA", at positions 54 to 919 of the family's 1533-position model. Lineage: Bacteria; Bacillati; Actinomycetota; Actinomycetes; Micrococcales; Microbacteriaceae. The record is from RNAcentral.
CAUGCAAGUCGAACGAUGAUGCCCAGCUUGCUGGGUGGAUUAGUGGCGAACGGGUGAGUAACACGUGAGUAACCUGCCCCUGACUCUGGGAUAAGCGUUGGAAACGACGUCUAAUACUGGAUAUGAUCACUGGCCGCAUGGUCUGGUGGUGGAAAGAUUUUUUGGUUGGGGAUGGACUCGCGGCCUAUCAGCUUGUUGGUGAGGUAAUGGCUCACCAAGGCGACGACGGGUAGCCGGCCUGAGAGGGUGACCGGCCACACUGGGACUGAGACACGGCCCAGACUCCUACGGGAGGCAGCAGUGGGGAAUAUUGCACAAUGGGCGAAAGCCUGAUGCAGCAACGCCGCGUGAGGGAUGACGGCCUUCGGGUUGUAAACCUCUUUUAGUAGGGAAGAAGCGAAAGUGACGGUACCUGCAGAAAAAGCACCGGCUAACUACGUGCCAGCAGCCGCGGUAAUACGUAGGGUGCAAGCGUUGUCCGGAAUUAUUGGGCGUAAAGAGCUCGUAGGCGGUUUGUCGCGUCUGCUGUGAAAUCCCGAGGCUCAACCUCGGGCUUGCAGUGGGUACGGGCAGACUAGAGUGCGGUAGGGGAGAUUGGAAUUCCUGGUGUAGCGGUGGAAUGCGCAGAUAUCAGGAGGAACACCGAUGGCGAAGGCAGAUCUCUGGGCCGUAACUGACGCUGAGGAGCGAAAGCAUGGGGAGCGAAACAGGAUUAGAUACCCUGGUAGUCCAUGCCGUAAACGUUGGGCGCUAGAUGUAGGGACCUUUCCACGGUUUCUGUGUCGUAGCUAACGCAUUAAGCGCCCCGCCUGGGGAGUACGGCCGCAAGGCUAAAACUCAAAGGAAUUGACGGGGG